This 491-nucleotide ribosomal RNA is filed under the name uncultured bacterium. RNAcentral describes it as "bacterial SSU rRNA". It matches the Rfam family "Bacterial small subunit ribosomal RNA", at positions 28 to 523 of the family's 1533-position model. The record is from RNAcentral.
GAUGAACGCUAGCGGAAGGCUUAAUACAUGCAAGUCGAGCGGUAGGUGGCUUCGGCCAUUGAGAGCGGCGCACGGGUGAGUAACGCGUACAUGACCUGCCUGUCAGAAGGGGAUAGCCCUGGGAAACUGGGAUUAAUACCCUAUGGUAUUGAUAUUAUGAAUGAUAUCAAUUAAAGUUGAGGCGCUGACAGAUGGAUGUGCGUCUGAUUAGCUAGUUGGUAGGGUAACGGCUUACCAAGGCGACGAUCAGUAGGGGGCGUGAGAGCGUGGUCCCCCACACGGGUACUGAGACACGGACCCGACUCCUACGGGAGGCAGCAGUAAGGAAUAUUGGUCAAUGCCCGCAAGGGUGAACCAGCCAUUCCGCGUGGAGGAUGAAGGCCCUAUGGGUUGUAAACUUCUUUUAGAUGGGAAGAAAUGCUAGAUGUAUCUGGUACUGACGGUACCAUCAGAAUAAGCACCGGCUAACUCCGUGCCAGCAGCCGCGGUAA